GGGUUAAUGGAGACCUCACACUGAAGAGAUGAUGACUUAAAAAGCAUGUUCAAUAAGAUAACACUGAGGCCC
Ochotona princeps (American pika) is the source of this 72-nucleotide small nucleolar RNA. Its record names the gene SNORD115. It matches the Rfam family "Small nucleolar RNA SNORD115". Rfam says of the family: HBII-52 is a member of the C/D class of snoRNAs, which contain the C (UGAUGA) and D (CUGA) box motifs. NCBI's taxonomy places the organism in Eukaryota, Metazoa, Chordata, Mammalia, Lagomorpha, Ochotonidae. The record is from Ensembl.